GAAUAAGACAACGUACCACUGUUAUAAGAUUCCAAGUGAAUUCCUUCAGAGGAAGAGAAGGACAACAUAAGAAGGCGUGGAUGACAGACUUUCAGUUAAACUAACAAAGAAAGAACACUGCAGCACCAUCUAUGCCUACCUUUUUCUCAGCGUUUAUAAAAAAAAAUUCAUAUUCCCUACAAAGCAAAACUAUGGUAUAACAGGACAACUAAGACUGCCCUGGCACCAGAGAAACUACAAUCUAGAUGUGCUCUGCUUCCAGUCGGCCGAGAAGCCUGCAGCAAAUCACCUAAACACUUAAGGUCUUUGUGUGCCAUCCACACCCAACUGCAACUAGAGACUUUCAUUAGCCCCUUUCUGUCUCAGAGCUUUCGGUGGUUCUACAAGUCACCAGCCUGGAUCUCUAACAAUGUGUCUCUCCAAAGCUGUUAAUACAUUCACAUCCAAAAUAUCUCCAGCCACGAAAUCCUAGUUUAGAGGUUGCCCGUCCUUGUUGAAGAAACAUUUCUACACAAAUACCUGUUGCCUAUACCAGAUGGCCAUACCAAUACCCAAAUACUGACAAACGUUUAAAAGAAUUUACGGUACUCCCUUCACUUUAGAAAUGUUAACAGUUCAAGUCCAACAGAACUUAAAGGAAAAAAAGAGAAAUGUUAACAGUAAGUAAGGCAUUUAUUUAACAUAAUCUCAACUAAAGUCCAACUAAAGAGCUUCCCCAGGCAAACACUCCUUUUGCACUUCAUUUUGAAGACAAAAGAAUGCACAAGUUAAAAUCCUAAUAUUACCAUUUUAUUAAAAAUAACUUUUAAGAUCCAAUCUGUGGCCAAUAUUCGAUCUGGAUGCAAAACCCUGGCUUCCAGACAGGCCAGCCAGGGGCACUGCUCUGAAGGUCAUUACUUAAGUAUCCCAGUCUCCUCAGUCUGACAGACCUACCCCUGCCCAGCCAAUCUCCACAUAACAGCUAGUUGUUCAUAAUAAAUCCCAUCAGAUCCCCGCUUAACUACUCCCCUUCAAAGGCUCCACUGCCCUCAGGAAAUAGUUCAACCACCUUCUGUAGAAAGGCCUUCUAAAACCUCUCUCCGAGUCUGUCUGCUAAUCUCUCCCACUUGACACUCCCCAGGUCUCUGGCCAGCUGAACUUCCCGGGCAUUUCCUGAACAAUGCCCCUCAAUAAACCACAUGCAACUCUCAUUUUCUGAUGCCACCGCGCUUUGUACAUUCAGUUCCGUCUAUAUGCCACCACCUCCUCUGGAGAGCUGUGGACUUGUCACUCACCAUUCCCCCCAAGCCCCCUAGUAGACCAUAAACUCAAGGGCAAGGACCACCACAUCUUAUUCAUCUUCAUUUUACCACACCCUAACUCACAGUAGUUGUUCAAUAGAUAUAAAAUGAAUGGCCCUGAAUUCCUCCCAAAGGGUCCUAUGCUCCUAACCUACCUAACCUAAUAGAGGUAUUAUGCACUCUGGAUCCUGACGAAGGUUUACAAGCAGGGCUGCCUAUCUCUGUAACACAUCUAGAAGGUAAAGUGAUCGUUUUUCUGAGUAAAAAAAUCUAGCACAAUGGGCAAAGAAUCUGAAUAGACAUUUCUCCAAAGAAGAUAUAAAAAUGGCCAAUAAGCACAUGAAAAGAUGCUCAAUAUUAGUCAUUAGGGAAAUGCAAAUCAAAACCACUUCAUAGCCAACAGGAUGGUAUAAUAAAAAAAAAUAU
Molecule: long non-coding RNA, 1706 nt
Filed under: Homo sapiens (human)
Lineage: Eukaryota; Metazoa; Chordata; Mammalia; Primates; Hominidae
Description: HSALNT0224611
Source: RNAcentral